AACGAACGCUGGCGGCAGGCCUCAAACAUGCAAGUCUAGGGGGUGUAGCAAUACAUCACCGGCGGACGGGUGCGUAACGCGUGGGAAUAUACCUAUUGGUUCGGAACAACUGAGGGAAACUUCAGCUAAUACCGAAUGUGCCCGUAAGGGGAAAGAUUUAUCGCCAAUGGAUUAGCCCGCGUAGGAUUAGCUAGUUGGUG
RNAcentral lists this ribosomal RNA (200 nucleotides) under uncultured bacterium. RNAcentral's name for it is "partial 16S ribosomal RNA". It matches the Rfam family "Bacterial small subunit ribosomal RNA", at positions 29 to 254 of the family's 1533-position model. The record is from RNAcentral.